CGGGGGUGAUGCCUGUGGAAUGAGCGGCGGACGGGUGAGUAACACGUGGGCAACCUGCCUGUAAGAUCGGAAUAACUCCGGGAAACCGGGGCUAAUGCCGGGUAAUCCUUUUUCUCGCAUGGGAGAGAGGUAAAAGAUGGCCUUUGGCUAUCACUUACAGAUGGGCCCGCGACGCAUUAGCUAGUUGGUGAGGUAAUAGCUCACCAAGGCGACGAUGCGUAGCCGACCUGAGAGGGUGAUCGGCCACACUGGGACUGAGACACGGCCCAGAYUCYUACGGGAGGCAGCAGUAGGGAAUCUUCCGCAAUGGACGAAAGUCUGACGGAGCAACGCCGCGUGAACGAUGAAGGUCUUCGGAUCGUAAAGUUCUGUUGUUAGGGAAGAACAAGUACCGUGCGAAUAGAGCGGUACCUUGACGGUACCUAACGAGGAAGCCCCGGCUAACUACGUGCCAGCAGCCGCGGUAAUACGUAGGGGGCAAGCGUUGUCCGGAAUUAUUGGGCGUAAAGCGCGCGCAGGCGGUUUCUUAAGUCUGAUGUGAAAGCCCACGGCUCAACCGUGGAGGGUCAUUGGAAACUGGGGAACUUGAGGACAGAAGAGGAGAGUGGAAUUCCACGUGUAGCGGUGAAAUGCGUAGAUAUGUGGAGGAACACCAGUGGCGAAGGCGACUCUCUGGUCUGUUUCUGACGCUGAGGUGCGAAAGCGUGGGUAGCAAACAGGAUUAGAUACCCUGGUAGUCCACGCCGUAAACGAUGAGUGCUAGGUGUUAGGGGGCUUCCACCCCUUAGUGCUGAAGUUAACGCAUUAAGCACUCCGCCUGGGGAGUACGGCCGCAAGGCUGAAACUCAAAGGAAUUGACGGGGGCCCGCACAAGCGGUGGAGCAUGUGGUUUAAUUCGAAGCAACGCGAAGAACCUUACCAGGUCUUGACAUCCUUGGACCGCCCUAGAGAUAGGGUCUUCCCUUCGGGGACCAAGUGACAGGUGGUGCAUGGUUGUCGUCAGCUCGUGUCGUGAGAUGUUGGGUUAAGUCCCGCAACGAGCGCAACCCCUAAUCUUAGUUGCCAGCAUUCAGUUGGGCACUCUAAGGUGACUGCCGGUGACAAACCGGAGGAAGGCGGGGAUGACGUCAAAUCAUCAUGCCCCUUAUGACCUGGGCUACACACGUGCUACAAUGGAUGGUACAAAGGGCAGCGA
Molecule: ribosomal RNA, 1195 nt
Filed under: Halobacillus sp. PS18
Lineage: Bacteria; Bacillati; Bacillota; Bacilli; Caryophanales; Bacillaceae
Description: bacterial SSU rRNA
Rfam family: Bacterial small subunit ribosomal RNA
Source: RNAcentral